This 437-nucleotide ribosomal RNA is filed under the name uncultured bacterium. Its description in RNAcentral is "bacterial SSU rRNA". It matches the Rfam family "Bacterial small subunit ribosomal RNA", at positions 355 to 786 of the family's 1533-position model. The record is from RNAcentral.
GGAGGAAUAUUGGUCAAUGGCCGAGAGGCUGAACCAGCCAAGUCGCGUGAGGGAUGAAGGUUCUAUGGAUCGUAAACCUCUUUUAUAAGGGAAUAAAGUGACCCACGUGUGGGUUUUUGUAUGUACCUUAUGAAUAAGGAUCGGCUAACUCCGUGCCAGCAGCCGCGGUAAUACGGAGGAUCCGAGCGUUAUCCGGAUUUAUUGGGUUUAAAGGGUGCGUAGGCGGCCCUAACGUCAGCGUGAAGUCAUGUGCUCGAACCAUCAGAAUUGCCCGUUGAAACUGGGGGCGGUGCAUGUAUGUUUGAGGCAGGCGGAAUGCGUGGUGUAGCGGUGAAAUGCUUAGAUAUCACGCAGAACCCCCGAUUGCGAAGGCAGCCUGCCAAGCCAUGACUGACGCUGAUGCACGAAAGCGUGGGGAUCAAACAGGAUUAGAUACC